This 468-nucleotide ribosomal RNA is filed under the name uncultured bacterium. RNAcentral describes it as "partial 16S ribosomal RNA". It matches the Rfam family "Bacterial small subunit ribosomal RNA", at positions 28 to 507 of the family's 1533-position model. The record is from RNAcentral.
GACGAACGCUGGCGGCGUGCUUAACACAUGCAAGUCGAACGGAAAGGCCCUGCUUUUGUGGGGUGCUCGAGGGGCGAACGGGUGAGUAACACGUGAGUAACCUGCCCUUGACUUUGGGAUAACUUCAGGAAACUGGGGCUAAUACCGGAUAGGAGCUCCUGCUGCAUGGUGGGGGUUGGAAAGUUUCGGCGGUUGGGGAUGGACUCGCGGCUUAUCAGCUUGUUGGUGGGGUAGUGGCUUACCAAGGCUUUGACGGGUAGCCGGCCUGAGAGGGUGACCGGCCACAAUGGGACUGAGAUACGGCCCAGACGCCUACGGGAGGCAGCAGUGGGGAAUAUUGCACAAUGGGCGGAAGCCUGAUGCAGCAACGCCGCGUGCGGGAUGACGGCCUUCGGGUUGUAAACCGCUUUCGCCUGUGACGAAGCGUGCGUGACGGUAAUGGGUAAAGAAGCACCGGCUAACUACGUG